UACGAAGGGGGCUAGCGUUGUUCGGAUUUACUGGGCGUAAAGCGCACGUAGGCGGAUCGUUAAGUCGGGGGUGAAAUCCUGGAGCUCAACUCCAGAACUGCCUUCGAUACUGGCGAUCUCGAGUCCGGAAGAGGUGAGUGGAAUUCCUGGUGUAGCGGUGAAAUGCGCAGAUAUCAGGAGGAACACCAAUGGCGAAGGCAGCUCGCUGGGACGGUACUGACGCUGAGACGCGAAAGCGUGGGGAGCAAACAGG
This 253-nucleotide ribosomal RNA is filed under the name uncultured bacterium. Its description in RNAcentral is "partial 16S ribosomal RNA". It matches the Rfam family "Bacterial small subunit ribosomal RNA", at positions 524 to 776 of the family's 1533-position model. The record is from RNAcentral.